Molecule: long non-coding RNA, 2372 nt
Filed under: Malus domestica (apple)
Lineage: Eukaryota; Viridiplantae; Streptophyta; Magnoliopsida; Rosales; Rosaceae
Description: long non-coding RNA (MDOM_LNC009379)
Source: RNAcentral
UCCCACUCACACAAAGACACUUGUCCUCAUAAUUACUAUGCUAUAAUAUAAUAUAAUUAGAAAGGUUAUUUUUUCAAAAUACUUUCGGUUCGUCAUUCCAAAUUCACUUCCGCUGGUGCAUACUCGAUCGUAUCGUCGAUUACCUCAAGAAUACGCUAAAAUAAUAUUUAGUACAGCUCACAAUUCGCUAGUCAAUGAAAGUCAAAACCUUCGUCUCUAGGUUGUUUUCGUAAUUUCACAUUUUAAAAUUUAAAAAUUAAUAAAAUCUGGGACAGGUUGUCACAGCAGCGCCCAAACAAAGAUACAUCUAUCAUGCUUCAUCCAAAUAAUACAUCAAAUCUAAUAAAAUUCUAAUAAGGUCCUACAAGAAUUUUGAAAAUUAAAUUAUGAGAAAAAUGGAAGUUGAGAAUUAUGAGGUGAGAGAGGGAGAGUUUUAACUCUCACCUGUCACUUGUCAGACACUAUCAGGGCAUUAUUCCUGCACCACCUCCAAUACACACACAAAAAACACUUAAUUAGUUUGACCUAAUCACAAAUUAAUUAUUUUAAUGGUGUACUUUAAUCUAACCCUAGACAGAGGCACAACACUCAAUGCCACUAUUCCUAAUGUCCUUUUGGAUUGACCUAUCCAUCAAAUGAAGUAGGAUUUUUCCAUCUUCUUUCAUCCUCUCAUCUUACAUUCUCUACUUUGUCUUUCUCUUUCUAUAAAAAAAAAUUAAUAUAAGAUGUUGAUGUGGUUUAACCGUGACCGUUCAAAUAAGAGAGGAGGGAAGGAGGGGAAAAAGAGAGGAGAUAAUCCUACUCCCUCUGAAAUUGUGGAAGUCAGAUUUCAAAACAUUUCCUUUAAAAACAAAGAAGACGACGAGAAACCAAUGCAUGGAGCACUAGUUUGAUGCCUAAAUUUGGAUCGAUUGGGGCGACUGAGAGAAUCGAAAGAGAUAUGAAAACAAAGAGAGAGUGACAUAUGGCUUAUUGCGCUAGUUGGUUGCUGCCAAUUGUGUUAUGAACAUACUACUUCUUGAAUUUAUACCUUUUUAUUGAAAAGCGACGAUAUAGGAUUUCAUUGAUUAAAAAGGCAGUGUACAAAAUAGUAAACAGAGAGAGGUGAUGUGGUAGAAACUAACACACAAAUUAAACUCAUAAAUUAUGCAAUCGUAGUACGAGAAAGUAGGGAUCAUUCUAUUUUGGGGAUUAGAAGGGAUGCUAACCAACACAAAUUAAACUUAAUAAACUAAAAGUUAAGUUAAACUAACAACAAAACAAUGACUAGGGGGAUUUUGGACGAAUUUAAUUAAAACAAAAGUAAAUGGCAACAAGUAAAUUAAGUUGUGAAUGAAAUAUGGAUGAAAGGAUAGCUAAAGGAUUCUUCUCCACACAUGAAUCAUUUGCAUACAAAUCGAUUUCCAAUUAUUCUUCCUAUAAACCAUGAAUGACAAUGCCCCAAAUUAACUGUGAAUAGUACUAAUUAACUCCCUAAGUUCAUUGAAUUGGACUCAGCGACGCAACCAAAUUGUUCUUUUCAAGUUCCCUAACGAUGAAAAGCAUGAUAGAGAUACAUCUCAAAGAUCAUUAAGUUCUGUGAAAAUCAUAAGCAUUGACAAAACAUUCAUAACUAUGAAAAGCAUGAUACUCUAGCCAAGAAUUUAUUUAACUCAAUCAUGACUAGUGAUUUUUACAACUUACAAAUAUAAGUUCAUACCAAUUAGGUGAAAUUCCCUUACAUUCUAGCAUCAAAUCCCUGCAUGCAAACUAAGUGUGCACCCUUAAUAAACAUACUAGAAUAAGUUCUCUAUAAAGCAAAUAAGUAAAUCGCAUUCAUGUCUUAUGAAACAAUAACUGGAUGUAAUCAAUCUAUAUAAAACAUAUGAUCAUGGCUUCGAAUUCACUUUUAGCUAAAAAGAAACUUAGUUACACAUGUUCAUCAUAACUGAAAAGCAAUCUAAAAUAAACAUUGAAACUUAAAACAAAGAGAGAAAGAACUCUGAAAACUCCAGCAACUUCAAUGGAUGAAUGGCAAGUGCAACACACCCUAAAUUGCUGCAUGAAUUUCAUAUAUAUAUAUAUAUAUAUAUAUAUAUAUAUAUAUAUAUAGGGGAAACGGCUGAAUCCAAGGAGGAAAAGGUUUUGGCGUUUUGAAUUACUUUAGAACUCUAAGAAUCAGGUGGAGAGUGAUAAGAUAAGAUAAUAUAAUAUUCUUCUCCAACUAGGAUUCUUCUUUCUUGUGUAAUUCCUUGCCUUCUAAGCCUCAACUUUAAUUUCUCCAUAUUUUUGCACAUGUCUAACGCCUUUUAAACACCAAAAACGUCCAGCCCAUAUGCCAUCCACGCCUGUUAUCCAAUCCAAAUCCAAAACUGCUCCAAAUUGCUCCAUUU